UACGUAGGGGGCAAGCGUUGUCCGGAUUUAUUGGGCGUAAAGAGCGUGUAGGCGGCUGGGUAGGUCCGUUGUGAAAACUCGAGGCUCAACCUCGAGACGCCGAUGGAAACCCUCCAGCUAGAGUCCAGAAGAGGAGAGUGGAAUUCCUGGUGUAGCGGUGAAAUGCGCAGAUAUCAGGAAGAACACCCGUGGCUAAGGCGGCUCUCUAGUACGGUACUGACGCUGAGACGCGAAAGCGUGGGGAGCGAACAGG
RNAcentral lists this ribosomal RNA (253 nucleotides) under uncultured bacterium. RNAcentral describes it as "partial 16S ribosomal RNA". It matches the Rfam family "Bacterial small subunit ribosomal RNA", at positions 524 to 776 of the family's 1533-position model. The record is from RNAcentral.